RNAcentral lists this ribosomal RNA (497 nucleotides) under uncultured bacterium. RNAcentral's name for it is "partial 16S ribosomal RNA". It matches the Rfam family "Bacterial small subunit ribosomal RNA", at positions 28 to 507 of the family's 1533-position model. The record is from RNAcentral.
GAUGAACGCUGGCGGCGUGCCUAAUGCAUGCAAGUCGAGCGAACGGACGAGAAGCUUGCUUCUCUGAUGUUAGCGGCGGACGGGUGAGUAACACGUGGAUAACCUACCUAUAAGACUGGGAUAACUUCGGGAAACCGGAGCUAAUACCGGAUGAUAUUUUGAACCGCAUGGUUCAAAAGUGAAAGACGGUCUUGCUGUCACUUAUAGAUGGAUCCGCGCUGCAUUAGCUAGUUGGUAAGGUAACGGCUUACCAAGGCAACGAUGCAUAGCCGACCUGAGAGGGUGAUCGGCCACACUGGAACUGAGACACGGUCCAGACUCCUACGGGAGGCAGCAGUAGGGAAUCUUCCGCAAUGGGCGAAAGCCUGACGGAGCAACGCCGCGUGAGUGAUGAAGGUCUUCGGAUCGUAAAACUCUGUUAUUAGGGAAGAACAUAUGUGUAAGUAACUGUGCACAUCUUGACGGUACCUAAUCAGAAAGCCACGACUAACUACGUG